Molecule: small RNA, 126 nt
Filed under: Enterobacter cloacae
Lineage: Bacteria; Pseudomonadati; Pseudomonadota; Gammaproteobacteria; Enterobacterales; Enterobacteriaceae
Description: RtT RNA
Rfam family: RtT RNA
About the family: This family represents a bacterial cis-regulatory element known as RtT RNA. The exact function of RtT is unknown although it is thought that it may be involved in changing the cellular response in relation to amino acid starvation.
Source: RNAcentral
UUGCUAUCUGCGAUUUGAAAGAUUCGAACCUGCAGCAGGCUCGAGCCGAACGCAGUGAGGCACCGGAGCCGUUUACGGCGACGGCCCGAAGGGCGAGCAAAGCGAGUCAUCCUGCACGACCCACCA